GACGAACGCUGGCGGCGUGCUUAACACAUGCAAGUCGGACGCUGAAGCUCAGCUUUUGUUGGGUGGAUGAGUGGCGAACGGGUGAGUAACACGUGAGUAACCUGCCUCCUUCUUUGGGAUAACGCCCGGAAACGGGUGCUAAUACUGGAUAUUCACUGGUCUUCGCAUGGGGGUUGGUGGAAAGGGUUUUUCUGGUGGGGGAUGGGCUCGCGGCCUAUCAGCUUGUUGGUGGGGUGAUGGCCUACCAAGGCUUUGACGGGUAGCCGGCCUGAGAGGGUGACCGGUCACAUUGGGACGGAGAUACGGCCCAGAAUCCUACGGGAGGCAGCAGUGGGGAAUAUUGCACAAUGGGCGCAAGCCUGAUGCAGCGACGCCGCGUGAGGGAUGGAGGCCUUCGGGUUGUGAACCUCUUUCGCUCAUGGUCAAGCCGCAACAAUGGUUGUGGUGAGGGUAGUGGGUAAAGAAGCGCCGGCUAACUACGUG
RNAcentral lists this ribosomal RNA (483 nucleotides) under uncultured bacterium. RNAcentral's name for it is "partial 16S ribosomal RNA". It matches the Rfam family "Bacterial small subunit ribosomal RNA", at positions 28 to 507 of the family's 1533-position model. The record is from RNAcentral.